GGUCGCUGUAACUGUUGUUGGUAGGUUGUUCCAGUCCCUGAUUGUCCUCGGGAAGAAAGAUUGGCCGUAAGUGUCUGUACUUGUUCUUUCUUGAAGAAGCGGUUUUUACCUCUGGUCCGGUUAUCAUUCGGUGUCAAAUAUUGGUGACGGUCUAUAUCUAUAAGAUCAUGCUGGAUCUUAAAUAGCAUGCAUAAUCUAUUUGUUUUCCUCCGUUCUUCUAGACUUUCCCAUUUAAGAUUUUUAACCAUAUUUGUGACACAGCCAGGUGUUCGGUCUGUGUAGUUGUUAUUCACAAAUCGUGCAGCUCUUUUCUGGACCUGUUCAAUUGCCUUGAUUUUAUUUUGGGCGGUUGGGUCCCAUAUUGUGCUUGUAUAUUCCACUGCUGGUCUUACCAUGGAUACAUACGCAGCUGCCUUUACAGGUUUUGUACAGCCUUUGAGGUUUCUACGUAUAAAUCCCAACGUUCUGUUUCC
RNAcentral lists this long non-coding RNA (473 nucleotides) under Mytilus galloprovincialis (Mediterranean mussel). Lineage: Eukaryota; Metazoa; Mollusca; Bivalvia; Mytilida; Mytilidae. The record is from RNAcentral.